This 343-nucleotide ribosomal RNA is filed under the name uncultured Verrucomicrobiota bacterium. RNAcentral's name for it is "bacterial SSU rRNA". It matches the Rfam family "Bacterial small subunit ribosomal RNA", at positions 29 to 351 of the family's 1533-position model. Lineage: Bacteria; Pseudomonadati; Verrucomicrobiota. The record is from RNAcentral.
AACGAACGCUGGCGGCGUGGAUAAGACAUGCAAGUCGAGCGCUGGUUGCAAGGUAGCAAUAUUUUGCAAUUGGAGCGGCGAAAGGGUGCGUUACACGUGGGCAAUCUGCCGUGAAGUCUGGAAUAACUCGCUGAAAGGCGAGCUAAUGCCGGAUGUGAUCACCGGGAGGCAUCUCCUGGGGUUCAAAGUUGGGGACCGAAAGGCCUGACGCUUCAUGAUGAGCCCGCGGCCUAUCAGCUAGUUGGUGAGGUUACGGCUCACCAAGGCUAUGACGGGUAGCUGGUCUGAGAGGACGACCAGCCACACUGGAACUGAGACACGGUCCAGACACCUACGGGUGCUG